UGGUAAUAUUUAAAAAAUUAUACAUACCGUUAAGUAUCACAUAGCUUUUAAGACGCGAUAUAUAUAUACAAUAACUUUCUUCCAUCCUUCGUCGAUCAUAUACCGUGUGACGUCAAUAGAAACAAACCUUUGAUUGACUUUGACAGUCACUGGAUUAGUCUUUCUUCGUAUCUCGACGAGUACACAUCCAAGCUCCCUCGGGAUGUUUUUCCUUUAAGUGUGGACGAAGAAUUAAAAUACGUGUGACGUCACAAUAUCGAACCUUUGAUUGACUUUGACAGUCACUGGAUCAGUCUUUCUUCGUAUCCCGACGAGUAAACAUCGUAGCUCCCUCGGGAUGUUUUUCCUUUAAGUGUGGACGAAGAAUUAAAAUACGUGUGACGUCACAAUAUCGAACCUUUGAUUGACUUUGACAGUCACUGGAUCAGUCUUUCUUCGUAUCCCGACGAGUAAACAUCGUAGCUCCCUCGGGAUGUUUUUCCUGUAAAUGUGGACGAAGAAUGAGAAUGCCUGUGACGUCACGAUAUCGAACCUUUAAUUGACUUUGACAAUCACUGGAUCAGUCUUUCUUCGUAUUCCGACGAGUAAACAUCGAAGCUCCCUCGGGAUAUUUUUCCUGUAAGAGUGAACGAAGAAUUAAAGUAAGUACAAUCAGCUUAUUUGAUUUUAGACUUAAAUGUGAAGUGGGGAUACACGGCUUCGGGAGACGACAACAAUGUCGGGUCUUUGGCCGACCUGUAUAGUUUCUGGUUCAGUUGUGCGUUGGACUUCGACCAGUGAACUUAGCAAUUUUCGCGGAUGCCAUUCGUGCAAGUAUUAACCAACAAUUAAUUCAAAUAUACAACAGUUCAUUUGAUUUGAUAUUAAAAUUCGAAGUGGGGAUAAUUUUCUUCAUGAGUUGACAACAAAGUCGGCUCUUUGACCGAUCUAUAUAGUUCCUACUUCAGUUGUGCUUUGGACUUCGACCAGUGAAAUUAAAAAAUUUCAAGGAUGCCAUUCGUGCAAGUAUUAACCAACAAUGAAUUCAAAUACAUAACAGCUUAUUUGAUUUUAGACUUAAAUGUGAAGUGGGGAUACACGGCUUCGGGAGACGACAACAAUGUCAGGUCUUUGGCCGACCUAUAUAAUUCCUGGUUCAGUUGUGCGUUGGACUUCGACCAGUGAACUUAGAAAUUUUCGCGGAUGCUAUUCGUGCAAGUAUUAACGAACAGCCAAUUAAAAUAUAUAACAGCUGAUUUGAUUUUAAACUUAAAUGCGAAGUGGGGAUGCUCGGCUUCUGGGGACGACAACAACGUCAGGCCUUUGACCAAUAUUUAUUAUUCCUGGUUCAGUUGUGCGUUGGACUUCGACCAGUGAACUUAGAAAUUUUUCGCGGAUUCCAUUCGUUCAAGUAUAAACCAACAAUGAAUUCAAAUAUAUAACAGCUUAUUUGAUUUUAGACUUAAAUGUGAAGUGGGGAUACACGGCUUCGGGAGACGACAACAAUGUCGGGUCUUUGGCCGACCUAUAUAGUUCCUGGUUCAGUUGUGCGUUGGACUUCGACCAGUGAACUUAGAAAUUUUCGCGGAUGCUAUUCGUGCAAGUAUUAACGAACAGCCAAUUAAAAUAUAUAACAGCUGAUUUGAUUUUAAACUUAAAUGCGAAGUGGGGAUGCUCGGCUUCUGGGGACGACAACAACGUCAGGUCUUUGACCAAUAUUUAUUAUUCCUGGUUCAGUUGUGCUUUGGACUUCGACCAGUGAACUUAGAAAUUUUUGGCGGAUGUCAUUCGUGCAAGUAUUAACCAACAGUUAAUUCAAAUAUAUAACAGCUUAUUUGAUUUUAGACUUAAAUGCGAAGUGGGGAUACACGGCUUCGGGGGACGACAACAAUGUCGGGUCUUUGGCCGACCUAUAUAGUUCCUGGUUCAGUUGUGCGUUGGACUUCGACCAGUGAACUUAGAAAUUUUCGCGGAUGCUAUUCGUGCAAGUAUUAACGAACAGCCAAUUAAAAUAUAUAACAGCUGAUUUGAUUUUAAACUUAAAUGCGAAGUGGGGAUGCUCGGCUUCUGGGGACGACAACAACGUCAGGCCUUUGACCAAUAUUUAUUAUUCCUGGUUCAGUUGUGCUUUGGACUUCGACCAGUGAACUUAGAAAUUUUCGCGGAUGCUAUUCGUGCAAGUAUUAACGAACAGCCAAUUAAAAUAUAUAACAGCUGAUUUGAUUUUAAACUUAAAUGCGAAGUGGGGAUGCUCUGCUUCGGGGGACGACAACAAUGUCGGGUCUUUGGCCGUCUUAUAUAGUUUCUGGUUCAGUUGUGCGUUGAACUUCGAACAGUGAACUUAGAAAUUUUUCGCGGAUGCCAUUCGUUCAAGUAUAAACCAACAAUGAAUUCAAAUAUAUAACAGCUUAUUUGAUUUUAGACUUAAAUUGCGAAGUGGGGAUGCUCGGCUUCGGGGGACGACAACAACGUCAGGCCUUUGACCAAUAUUUAUUAUUCCUGGUUCAGUUGUGCGUUGGACUUCGACCAGUGAACUUAGAAAUUUUUCGCGGAUUCCAUUCGUUCAAGUAUAAACCAACAAUGAAUUCAAAUAUAUAACAGCUUAUUUGAUUUUAGACUUAAAUGUGAAGUGGGGAUACACGGCUUCGGGAGACGACAACAAUGUCGGGUCUUUGGCCGACCUAUAUAGUUCCUGGUUCAGUUGUGCGUUGGACUUCGACCAGUGAACUUAGAAAUUUUCGCGGAUGCUAUUCGUGCAAGUAUUAACGAACAGCCAAUUAAAAUAUAUAACAGCUGAUUUGAUUUUAAACUUAAAUGCGAAGUGGGGAUGCUCGGCUUCUGGGGACGACAACAACGUCAGGCCUUUGACCAAUAUUUAUUAUUCCUGGUUCAGUUGUGCGUUGGACUUCGACCAGUGAACUUAGAAAUUUUUCGCGGAUUCCAUUCGUUCAAGUAUAAACCAACAAUGAAUUCAAAUAUAUAACAGCUUAUUUGAUUUUAGACUUAAAUGUGAAGUGGGGAUACACGGCUUCGGGAGACGACAACAAUGUCGGGUCUUUGGCCGACCUAUAUAGUUCCUGGUUCAGUUGUGCGUUGGACUUCGACCAGUGAACUUAGAAAUUUUCGCGGAUGCUAUUCGUGCAAGUAUUAACGAACAGCCAAUUAAAAUAUAUAACAGCUGAUUUGAUUUUAAACUUAAAUGCGAAGUGGGGAUGCUCGGCUUCGGGGGACGACAACAACGUCAGGCCUUUGAUCAAUAUUUAUUACUCCUGGUUCAGUUGUGCUUUGGACUUCGACUAGUGAACUUUGAAAGUUUCGCACCUUUCGGGGACUUUGAAAAUCUAUCUCCACGACUGGACUUAGAAAUUUUCGCACCUUUGGAGCACUGAAAAUCUUUCUCCACGAGUGGACUUAGAAAUUUUCGCACGAUGCCGAAUUCGAGCGAGUAUUAACGAAGACUUAAAAACCUCUUUGCAGUCGCGCACGUUGCAAUGAUAUAAUCGAGUGUUAGCAUCGCUAAAAUAAAUUUAUCGCGUAGUAGAAGCAGUGUUUGUUCGUUCGCGUUUCGCGAUUUAAACAAUAAAUAUUAUUUUAUCGACUGCGUGCAAUGCAGUCCUUAGAGUCAGUGUUUGUUCGCGAAGUUUUUUGAUUUUUUAACAGUCGCAUAGACUGUACUUAUAAAGGAUAGUAGAGUUUCGCGAAAUAAAUUCAGUGUCCGUUCGUUAAUAAGUAUCUACCGCGAAUUAGAGUCAGUGCAUCACUCAAGAGGAUCUCGACCAACUUCGACGUCGACCUACCUCAUUUUCAACCAACUACAAAUCAUCCACCCUCAAUUUCGACCUAAAUCGCGGUGCAGUGUUUUGGAGCCUUCGCAGAACUUCUUAAGUGGUUAGAUCAUCGAGGGACCGAUCAUCGAGGGACCGAUCAUCGUGGGACCGAUCAUCGUGAAAUUAAAUUUUUACAGGGAAGCUUUUGCAUAUAAUUUUACAUAUAAUUUUUGUUCUUAUAUUUAAGUUUUAUUAAUUUUUAAUUUUUGCUGUUUUGUAUUUAACUUUUAUUAAGUUUUUAAUUUUUGUUUUUAUAUUUUAGUUUUAUUAACUUUUCAAUUUUUGCUCUUACAUUUAAUUUUUAUUAUCUUUUUAAUAUUUGCUUUUAUAUUUAAUUUUUAUUAUCUUUUUAAUUUUGGAUCUUAUAUUUAGCACUACUAUUAUUUUUUUUCUGUUUCAGAUUAGGUGACCGAGGGACGGAUAAUCGUGGGAUUUUUACACGGAAGUUAAUGGAACCUCUCUGCAUAUAAUUCUUAUUAUAUGCAGGGAGGGUAUGUCUCCUUGCUUCCGUACGCGAAUGAUAGGGAAAACACUCACGUGCGUGACGGCCGGCACGCGCGUGGGUGUUCGCGGACGCGAGAUUAAGUCCUGCCGAGGACUACGUUUUGAUUUUGAAAUCGAAGUAUAGACACGACCGGUCGUGUCUCGAGAUGUCUGAAGCCGACGGUGUGGACGGUGGAGCGAUCUGUAAGCGGGGUUUUAUACAUCUCCAGUUUGCUGAGAAAUCUGAAGCUCCCGAAGCGGAAAGGCAUCUCGGUUCGCGGAUUUUAGAGUAGAUUCCCCGUUAGCCCGUGGGUCUCCAAUGCAGCAACCUCCACGCGGUGGGACCUGGGUCGGUAAUGCUUGCGAUAUGUCCAAAUCUUAUGUGAUAUAAGUAUUAUCGAGCGAAUGGCUGCACAUUUCAAAAUCUUUUUCAAAAUCUUUUCCAUAUAAUUCGAAAUUACAUUUCGCAUGGUUUCAUACAUCUUUCGUGUCUUCAACAAUAAGUUUACUGUCAUUUCUAUUCAUCGAAACGCAUAGCUCUAUAAUGUAAUAAUUACUCUGGAUUAAUUAUUAUGGUUUCUCUCGGGUGGGUCCCAUGAGUAGGGCUCAUGGGCGUGGGCUUCUGUGCGGGUCUCCUUCUUUCAGUAUCGAAAAAUCCAACUCGAUUUUGGUACUCUGGUUUUGGUCCGGUCCAUCUUUUCUAAUUCAAUUUCAUCGUUUUCACACGUGCAUGUGUUUGAUUAUAACUUCCGGAUAUCCUUUCUUUCUAUUCUUCUGAGUUUUAUCGGACUCACGUGCGCGCAUGUUCCGGUUUUCUUUUCCUGCUUCUCUUCUUCGCAGUUUUCGAUAUAUCAGCGAGGUUCCGAUAUAUCGUCGAAAGGUUCGUUUCAUAAUCGAUUGCUAGACGCGAAUACGGGUAAGAUAGGAAGAACACUAACGCCUGUGUCGGCGGGCACAGACGUGGUGUUCUCGGGCGCGAAUAAAAGUCCUACGGUAAUGGACUUCGUUUGAUUGUUAAACCGAAUAAUGACCGGUCGCGUGUCGGUUCGUGUGCUGCCGAGCGGUAUGGAUUGCUAUCCGUAAGCGUGGACUGACCCUCCUCCAGUUAGCCGCCUGAAUUCUCGGUUGGUGCGUGGACGCCGCGAACGCGAAUUUAGAAUAGAGUCACCGUUAUUCUAACACUCACGGGAGUGUUCGGGCGCGACUAAAAGUCCUACCGGGGACUUCGUUUUAUAGAACGCCGAUUAUUUGAUCACGCCGGUCACGCGAAUUAUAGAGUAGAGUCCCCGUUAGCUCGUGGGUCCCCAGAUGCAGCUAC
Long non-coding RNA from Vespula vulgaris, 5607 nucleotides. RefSeq lists it as uncharacterized. The record is from RefSeq and is a predicted model, not a curated record. The transcript has 6 exons. NCBI's taxonomy places the organism in Eukaryota, Metazoa, Arthropoda, Insecta, Hymenoptera, Vespidae.